RNAcentral lists this ribosomal RNA (465 nucleotides) under Vreelandella stevensii. RNAcentral's name for it is "partial 16S ribosomal RNA". It matches the Rfam family "Bacterial small subunit ribosomal RNA", at positions 338 to 795 of the family's 1533-position model. Lineage: Bacteria; Pseudomonadati; Pseudomonadota; Gammaproteobacteria; Oceanospirillales; Halomonadaceae. The record is from RNAcentral.
CCUACGGGAGGCUGUAGUGGGGAAUAUUGGACAAUGGGCGAAAGCCUGAUCCAGCCAUGCCGCGUGUGUGAAGAAGGCCUUCGGGUUGUAAAGCACUUUCAGUGGGGAAGAAAGCCUUGGGGCUAAUACCCUCGAGGAAGGACAUCACCCACAGAAGAAGCACCGGCUAACUCCGUGCCAGCAGCCGCGGUAAUACGGAGGGUGCGAGCGUUAAUCGGAAUUACUGGGCGUAAAGCGCGCGUAGGCGGUCUGAUAAGCCGGUUGUGAAAGCCCCGGGCUCAACCUGGGAACGGCAUCCGGAACUGUCAGGCUAGAGUGCAGGAGAGGAAGGUAGAAUUCCCGGUGUAGCGGUGAAAUGCGUAGAGAUCGGGAGGAAUACCAGUGGCGAAGGCGGCCUUCUGGACUGACACUGACGCUGAGGUGCGAAAGCGUGGGUAGCAAACAGGAUUAGAUACCCUGGUAGUC